This is a long non-coding RNA of Poeciliopsis prolifica (blackstripe livebearer), 825 nucleotides long. RefSeq lists it as uncharacterized. The record is from RefSeq and is a predicted model, not a curated record. The transcript has 3 exons. Lineage: Eukaryota; Metazoa; Chordata; Actinopteri; Cyprinodontiformes; Poeciliidae.
UCCCAUGGGGACUCACCAGUUGUUCCAGAAGACGUGGCCCUUGCAGAAAUGAGAGGGGAACAGAGAGAAGUAAAGGCUGCCCCCCCUGAACCAAUCACUGAGUGUUUCUCAAAAUCUUAAAAGUUUUCUCAGAGUGAAGAAAUGGAGAAUAAAGAGGAAAGAAAAUCUUUCCAUUUUUGCACCUAUUUACUUUCCAAAUCUGUUUAUGUGCUCAUUAUAUCUGAGAAAUAUGUUCCUUUUAUCCACACCUCUAAUUUUAUAAAAAUAUGCAAAAACAUUGUCUUAAAACAUGUUCCUAUAAAGAUUGCAUUGCACUAAACUAAAACAAUUGGAAAAUAAAAUGUUAAUCUUAGAAAUCUGCUUCUGCUUCUUGCAAAAUGUUGAAGGGUGGAGGGUGCAGCAGCUUGAAUUGUUUGUUUUUCUAUGUCAGAUAAUACAUAUAUGGAUAUUAGAAUGAAUAAUGACUUAGUUGAUGAGGUCAGAUCAGAAAAUUCCUGGCUCGACUGCAGGAGGGAAUGGUAAUUUGUAAAAACACACAGACAACCAAUUAAUGCAGUAUUAGUCAUGUGUAGAGUAUCAAUGAAUAUUUACAAUAUAUAGAGAGAAGUACUUCAAAUAGUCCAUGAAAUCCUAGAAAUGUUUUUCUAGUAUGUUGUUUUUUUUUUUUUUUCCUUUAUCCAAGGCAACAUUUAACAAUUGAACUCUUUGGACUGAAAUAGAUCAUUUUGCAUUAUCCUGAUCACUUCCAUCACAGUAAGAAUGAAAGUGUAGUUGUGGGUCUGAAAAUCUCCAAUCAGACUGGAAGGAGUUGCAGGGAUGUGAUGA